This is a non-coding RNA of Solanum lycopersicum (tomato), 2306 nucleotides long. The record is from RefSeq and is a predicted model, not a curated record. Lineage: Eukaryota; Viridiplantae; Streptophyta; Magnoliopsida; Solanales; Solanaceae.
GUUUAGUUAGGUAAUUGGAGCAAUAGACAGUUGAAUUAUGAAACUUUUGAGAGCAUGAUAGAUUAUAUGUAUUUUUGACCAUUUACUUUUAAGUUUUUUGUUGAGUUUGUCACUAAAGCUUUUUGAAGGGUUGAUCCUUGUGUGAUUUCUGUUCUGAAAUCACAGGUUGCUGGUUUUGAGAGUUGAUCUGAUGAAGGCUGAUACAACUGUCAUCCUUCGGAAUGCUAAGAUCGACAUGUUCAAAAGCACCAUGAGACUAGCUGUGGACAAAUGGGGACGCGUCGAGGUUACUGAACCUGCUGCAUUUGAAGUGAAACAGGAUAACAAUCUCUCCCUUGUUGAGUAUGAGCUGGUGAAUAUGGAGUGAACAAAAGGAUCUUUUUAGUGAAAGUGCUAACUAGUUGAAGUUCAUAGUUCUACUACCAGGUUUAGUACUAUUAUCCUCCAUUUUGUUGUAGUUGUGGUCCCUUGGAAUUGGAAAGUACUAACUUUGAAGAUGGUAAUAUUUGGUAAGAGUAAACUUGAAACUAGCAGGAAUCAAUGGUAUAAAAAGAAAACUUAAUCUAGUAAGAUAAACCUAACUUUAUGUGUGAUGCUUUUUAUUUGCUAUGUUGCUCGGACUCUUAAAAAAUGCUGAAGGGUGUGUGUCGGAUUCUCCAAAAGCAAUGCAUUUUUGGAGGAUCCACCAUAGAUGUGACAACAUUUUAUAGAGUCUGUACAACGUAAUUUAUUUGAGAAAAUAAUCCUUCAUGUAUUUCGAUCCGUUUAUCAGUUUGUUCCUAAGCCCUAUGAGUGACAAAAGUCGCUACUUUUGCUGCCAAAAUACAUUGAGCCCAGCCUUAUGCAGGGGAUGUGAUCUACCGAUAUACAAAACAAAGAUCCCUUGUAUUACAACACAAACAACAACAUACUAUGUGUAAUCCCACAAGUGGGAUCUGAUGAAUGACAGAUCAUGAUACGAUCUUUUUGUAGUUAGGUCUUAUUAGAUUAACUUUCGUUGAUACAUUUCAAGUAUAUCCAUUUUCAGUCUACUGAUUAGGUUGUCAACUUGGAUUUUGAAAUUACAUAACAUCAAUGAAUGAUGCUCUUGCCCAGUUUUUGCGCAUCUGAGUAUUCCACAGGUACCUGCUACUUUCCACCCAGUAUAGAUACUAGGUAAAUUUGUCUUUUAACGCUUUAGAUGUAGUGAAAAGUUAUCACCUAGUUAAAUUCCUAAAUAUUUGAGUGUUUAUGUUUGAAUAUAAAGAGAUGAAGGUCUUUUCGGAAACCAACCCUCUAUCUUCAUAAGGUAGGAUAAGGUUUGCGUACACAUUACUGUAUACCUUACUUAAUCCACUUGCGAGAUUAUGUUAGGUUUAUUACUGUUAUACUUUUGUAUAUAAAGUUGCCAAAAAUGGCAUGGUCAAAGAAUAUGAAGAGAAGAAGGGCCUAUCAAACUAGUUCUUAUUUAAGUAAUCAUUGUAGCAAGUCAUGUGACAGAUAAGUUUGUUUAAUGUUUUGUCAUAAAUCAUUGAUUCUUUGAGCAAAACAUAAAUCUAAUAUUAGUUCUUUGUAUUUCCCUUUCUUGUAUUAUGAUAUCAUAAACAAAUAACUCAACUAAUGGGGUCCUUCCAAAAAUCCAAAGGACUUUGGACCGUUUAAACUAAUGGUGUCUCCAUCAUCAUCUUCUUCACAUAAUUUAAUUAGCAUAAUUAAAAAAAAUAUGAUGUGCUCUAUACCCUAUUUCAAUUUGAUUGAGAAUGUUAGUCAUCAAGCUUAAAAGAAACCAUUUAAUUUCUAGCAUAUGAUAAAAAAGAAGAAAGAUAAUGGUCAAAAAGUAAAUUUCAAUCAUCACUUUCCGACUUGAAAAUCAGGUGUUUGUGUUUUCUACGUAAACUAUUACUAACUAUUUAUUAAAAGACAUUUGAAAUUUACGAGUCAGUUGUCAUAUGGAUAAAUUAAGUUGUCAUGUACAUUUUGGCGAUUGUAUUCAAUCAUUUAAUCUAUAGUCAAUUUUAAGAUAUGUGUGUGAUAAAUAUAUAUUGAUAAUUUAGGUAAAAAACACAAAAAGUUGGUAUUUCAAGUUUCAGACAAAAAAAAAAACAAUAUUUCAAAUGCAUUUUUCAUAGUUAUAUCUUAAAAAUAAGUAACUAACAACUCAAACACUUUGACUUCUAUGUUUCUUAUCUGAUCGCUUCCAUUCUGACUAAAUUGACUGUCAUCCUAACAAUAUCUUCUUUCUUGUAGUAUUAUUUUUUCAAGGAAAGGAGUUAUCUUAUUUCAUUUCGACUGAGCUGAUCGUCGCAUCUAACUUGUAUGUUUCAUUA